Molecule: small nucleolar RNA, 191 nt
Organism: Callithrix jacchus (white-tufted-ear marmoset)
Lineage: Eukaryota; Metazoa; Chordata; Mammalia; Primates; Cebidae
Gene: U3
Rfam family: Small nucleolar RNA U3
About the family: Small nucleolar RNAs (snoRNAs) are involved in the processing and modification of rRNA in the nucleolus. There are two main classes of snoRNAs: the box C/D class, and the box H/ACA class. U3 snoRNA is a member of the box C/D class.
Source: Ensembl
AGCAGUUUCUCUAGCUCCUUAGCAGAGAAGUUUCUGUCAAAUGUGUACAGCAUCAGAAACCAAGAGGUGGCAGCAGUGUUCUCCACUGAACAUGAGGUUGGCUCUUGGUGUUGCUUUGCUGUGGCUGUCAUUUGCCAUCGAUGAUGGUUCUCUUCCUCCAGGGGAGAGGGAGAGAAUGCAGUCUGAGUGGG